Non-coding RNA from Nicotiana tabacum (common tobacco), 593 nucleotides. NCBI's taxonomy places the organism in Eukaryota, Viridiplantae, Streptophyta, Magnoliopsida, Solanales, Solanaceae. The record is from RefSeq and is a predicted model, not a curated record.
CUUUAUCUCCUCUCUAUCAGACUCCCACUUUUAAUCCUCUUCAACAAUGUAAGUUUUUUUUCUUCAAAUACAAAAAAUUGGGCGUGAAUCUAGGGUUAAUGUCUGAAAAAUAGAAGAAAACUUUCGAAAUUGCAAGAUUUUUGCUGCAGAAUUCUAAAAUUUGAAGUCGUGUGUUGCUGCUCCGCAAGAUUCUCAGACGAAAGAAAUUAAUUGGAGCCAAGAUCGUUGUAUUUUGGUAUAAAGAAGUUAUCAAAUUCAACAAUUCAGUGAGUAGUUCAAGCAUUGGAUAGUGCAGAUAUGCCUCGAGGUAGAGGUCGAGGUAGCACAGGCCGUGUAGGUAAAUCUUCAGUUAGGGGUAAUUUUGCUACUCGUGAAAAUAUGCCUAUUGUUCCCAUUCCCACAAUUAAUUCUCAACAAGGUGAUAUAGGUUCUUCAGGUGGACUAGAUCACAUCAAUCAAGUUCAAACAUUAGGUCCUAGUAGUACGUCACCUAUUCAAACAUCAGGCCAUGGUAGUACCCCAACUAUUAAUUUGGAACCAUCUCCAAAUACCCCUAAUCAGAGCAACACAAUAGGCGAGGGUACAUCUUCUCA